CCUACGGGUGGCAGCAGUGAGGAAUAUUGGUCAAUGGACGCAAGUCUGAACCAGCCAUGUCGCGUGCAGGAAGACGGCCCUACGAGUUGUAAACUGCUUUUGUACGAGGGUAAAGGCAGAUACGUGUAUCUGUUUGAAAGUACCGUAUGAAUAAGGAUCGGCUAACUCUGUGCCAGCAGCCGCGGUAAUACGGAGGAUUCGAGCGUUAUCCGGAUUUAUUGGGUUUAAAGGGUGCGUAGGCGGUUGGUUAAGUUAGAUGUGAAAUUUUGCGGCUCAACCGCGAAAUUGCAAUUGAUACUGGUAGGCUUGAGUACAGUUGAGGUAGGCGGAAUGUGUGGUGUAGCGGUGAAAUGCUUAGAGAUCACGAAGAACUCCGAUUGCGAAGGCAGCUUACUAAACUGCUACUGACAUUGAUGCACGAAAGCGUGGGUAUCAAACAGGAUUAGAUACCCGGGUAGUC
Molecule: ribosomal RNA, 460 nt
Filed under: uncultured bacterium
Lineage: Bacteria
Description: partial 16S ribosomal RNA
Rfam family: Bacterial small subunit ribosomal RNA
Source: RNAcentral